CUGUGCUAGAUGGGGAGGUAGCGGUGCCCUGUAACCCGCAAUCCGCUAUAGCGGGGUUGAAUUCCUGCCCGAGGUUUGAUGCUUGCAGGGUCUGGCCUGAGUAAGUGGUGUUGAGUACCGGGUCCUGCGCAACGGAGACCCAUGAACCCUGUCAGGUCCGGAAGGAAGCAGCAGUAAGUGGUGCCCUUCGUGUGCCGCAGGGGUGCCUGGUAGGAGCUAACUGCUCGGUUACCGCCUGUGAGGUCAGAUCGGAGGCAGGUGCACAG
Molecule: signal recognition particle RNA, 266 nt
Filed under: Clostridiales bacterium
Lineage: Bacteria; Bacillati; Bacillota; Clostridia; Eubacteriales
Description: signal recognition particle sRNA large type
Rfam family: Bacterial large signal recognition particle RNA
About the family: The signal recognition particle (SRP) is a universally conserved ribonucleoprotein involved in the co-translational targeting of proteins to membranes. Archaeal SRP consists of a 7S RNA and homologues of the eukaryotic SRP19 and SRP54 proteins.
Source: RNAcentral